Molecule: long non-coding RNA, 535 nt
Organism: Ailuropoda melanoleuca (giant panda)
Lineage: Eukaryota; Metazoa; Chordata; Mammalia; Carnivora; Ursidae
Exons: 3
Source: RefSeq, a predicted model, not a curated record
CAAGCGCACUGCUGAGAAGGAACGUCUAGGGAACGGCCCGUGAGGAGACGCCCGUGAGGAGACGUAGGGAGAGGACUCUGGUGGCAAAUGACAAGCAGCAGAGGCUUCCCUGGAAAGCCUGGGGGGAGAUGGAGGCAGGUGCACAGGCAGCCUCGGUGCUUGCAACCCCAGUCCCAGGAAAGGAUUUGCUCAGCUGGGGAGGCUCUGAAGACAGUCAGAAGAUGCUUCUAAUGCAGACGUGAAAGGGACUGUCCAAGAUGCAACUUGAGAAGCAUUCAAAGGAGGCAGCCAAACCAUUUAUCGCUGUGGAAAUAAUAGAUGGAUAACUGUUACACGGAAGAAUGCACAGACUUGUAGGCAAAGAAAGAAAUGCAGACAAAGCCCCUCCCCAUUUUGAUCAAAUUAGGAAACAAUUAUAAAGCAGUAAAACCCAGUGCUGACAGGGAUGUGGAGAAAAUGACACAUCGGCUUGGCUGUUAACACAUUCUGAUUUGGAAGGUCAACCUCUGUGCAAGAAACAAGUGAUGUGAAAGGC